This 492-nucleotide ribosomal RNA is filed under the name uncultured bacterium. RNAcentral's name for it is "partial 16S ribosomal RNA". It matches the Rfam family "Bacterial small subunit ribosomal RNA", at positions 29 to 507 of the family's 1533-position model. The record is from RNAcentral.
AGUGAACGCUGGCGGUAGGCCUAACACGUGCAAGUCGAACGGCAGCACAGUAAGAGCUUGCUCUUACGGGUGGCGAGUGGCGGACGGGUGAGGAAUACAUCGGAAUCUACUUUUUCGUGGGGGAUAACGUAGGGAAACUUACGCUAAUACCGCAUACGACCUACGGGUGAAAGCAGGGGAUCUUCGGACCUUGCGCGAUUGAAUGAGCCGAUGUCGGAUUAGCUAGUUGGCGGGGUAAAGGCCCACCAAGGCGACGAUCCGUAGCUGGUCUGAGAGGAUGAUCAGCCACACUGGAACUGAGACACGGUCCAGACUCCUACGGGAGGCAGCAGUGGGGAAUAUUGGACAAUGGGCGCAAGCCUGAUCCAACCAUACCGCGUGGGUGAAGAAGGCCUUCGGGUUGUAAAGCCCUUUUGUUGGGAAAGAAAAGCAGCAGGUUAAUACCCCGCUGUUCUGACGGUACCCAAAGAAUAAGCACCGGCUAACUUCGUG